This is a long non-coding RNA of Leopardus geoffroyi (Geoffroy's cat), 1672 nucleotides long. RefSeq lists it as uncharacterized. Lineage: Eukaryota; Metazoa; Chordata; Mammalia; Carnivora; Felidae. The record is from RefSeq and is a predicted model, not a curated record. The transcript is spliced from 3 exons.
CCGAUGCGGGGCUCGAACUCACGAACUGUGAGAACAUAGGACUGAGUCGAAGUCAGACGCUCAGCCGACUAAGCCACCCAGGGACCCCAUAAGACAUUUUCCUAGUCUCAGAGCUGGACCUGUAUUUUUAAGUUAAAUACCCGCAAUUUUAAAAAACUCCCUUAACUCCUCUUCAGACACUUUCAAUCAGAAACAAUCAUAGGAGACAUAGUAGAGGAUUUAUCAUAGUAUUUGACCUGUAAGUGCAAUUAAGAGGAGGUAGAUCCGGGCUGUGUGAGGUGCUGGAGCCUAAAAUCCACGGUGCGGGCUGUUGGGGAGGGACAAUGAGUGUGAAGUGGGGGACACGGGAACAGACUGGAACCUGCAAAAUGGGGCCGUGAGGACACUUGUGUCAGUCUCACUACCUUCAGAUGUCCAACUUCAGUGAUGGGGACAAGGGACUGGGCUAAACGCUCACCUGGCCCAGCAGCUGGGGAAAGCUAGAAUGAGUCAGACAAGAGCUGACGGUGCUGAGCCCAGGUGCUGCCCAGGCCCCCGGAGGUGGACACAAAGCAGGAUGGCCAUCGCCUCACGUCUCUCACCUGCCAGCCCUCCAGAGUUCCCAGCAGCAGGCCGCACCUAAACUGGGAAGGAGCUUCCGGUUCCUUCCCAAGUUGUUGCUUGUACAGAGGGGGUGGCGGCUGUGUCCGUGGACAAUCCGGACUGCUGGGGGAGGCUGAAGGCAAGGUGAGCUGGAGGUACAGAACCUCCUCACAGCCUUGUGUUCUGCUCAUUAGCUUGACUUCCACCAGAACAGAGGUUAUGAAACUGGUUUGAAGGGAGUUUCACCCACAGGUCACUGGGGUUUGUCUGUUAACAUCCUGGGGCUUAUUUUCUCUCUUCGAUGGGGAAGCGCUCACAGUGUGUACAGUUUGGAGGUGGUGAGUCUGGGAUGUCCAAAGAAGGGAGAGGCCCUGACUGUGCAGGCCAUGAUCCCCCUCUGCAUGGGUGCCUAGUGUCUUUGUCCUGAAGAUGCUUCACAGACAUGUGCUUUCUUCUACCCUCCAGGAGGAGAUCAGCUGUCCGUGUGGCUCUCCCUGGUCUGAGUGGCUCCUUGGAGUAUGGAAUCAACUUUGAAAAGUAUUUUUCUGUGAUGGGAAAACCUCCAUUCAAAGCACAACAUGGGGUGUGGAUUGAUAUCCAUGGGCUGAUUUAGGAAGUAUAGGUGAUCUAGAGUGUGAUCUCCUACCACUUUGUCCUCAAGCAGACCCACAACCUGUGCCUUUUCUGCAGUAAAGUUGGCUGUUGCCUUUUCUGCAGGGAGUUGGCUGUGGUCCAGGGAGGAGGUCGGACCCAGGUUCUUCAACGGAGAUCCGAUCUGCAUCAGUCACUCUCUCAGGGGCCGCCAGAUGGCAGUGUUGGCCUGCCCAGUCUAAGCCACCCUGCCAUAGAAGAUCUGAUCUGCAAAGAAGCAGGUUGCUGGCCUGUGCUCUGCCAGUGCACAGACUUUGCUGAGUCUGUGGGAUGAACCCAGCAAAAUUGAAUAGAAAUCACAUUCUCUGCCGAGGGUAACUCCUCACUUGCUGUCCACCAUCAUCCCAGAAGGCAGAGACCUCAUCUGCUUUGCACUCCUGGCUCCAGACCCAUGUCCACCAUUAUUGCUUAAUAAAUAUUGUUAAACUGGUUAAUCAUG